This 490-nucleotide ribosomal RNA is filed under the name uncultured bacterium. RNAcentral describes it as "partial 16S ribosomal RNA". It matches the Rfam family "Bacterial small subunit ribosomal RNA", at positions 29 to 507 of the family's 1533-position model. The record is from RNAcentral.
AGUGAACGCUGGCGGCAGGCCUAACACAUGCCAGUCGAACGGCAGCACAAGAGAGCUUGCUCUCUGGGUGGCGAGUGGCGGACGGGUGAGGAAUGCAUCGGAAUCUGCCCAUUUGUGGGGGAUAACCUCGGGAAACCGGGACUAAUACCGCAUACGACCUACGGGUGAAAGCAGGGGAUCUUCGGACCUUGCGCAGAUGGAUGAGCCGAUGCCGGAUUAGCUAGUUGGAGGGGUAAGGGCCCACCAAGGCGACGAUCCGUAGCUGGUCUGAGAGGAUGAUCAGCCACACUGGGACUGAGACACGGCCCAGACUCCUACGGGAGGCAGCAGUGGGGAAUAUUGGACAAUGGGCGCAAGCCUGAUCCAGCCAUGCCGCGUGUGUGAAGAAGGCCUUCGGGUUGUAAAGCACUUUUGUUGGGAAAGAAAAGCAGCCGGUUAAUACCCGGUUGUCAUGACGGUACCCAAAGAAUAAGCACCGGCUAACUUCGUG